This 253-nucleotide ribosomal RNA is filed under the name uncultured bacterium. RNAcentral's name for it is "partial 16S ribosomal RNA". It matches the Rfam family "Bacterial small subunit ribosomal RNA", at positions 524 to 776 of the family's 1533-position model. The record is from RNAcentral.
CACGUAGGGUGCGAGCGUUGUCCGGAAUUACUGGGCGUAAAGGGCUCGUAGGCGGCCAACUAAGUCAGACGUGAAAUCCCUCGGCUUAACCGGGGAACUGCAUCUGAUACUGGAUGGCUUGAAUCCGGGAGAGGUGAGUGGAAUUCCGAGUGUAGAGGUGAAAUUCGUAGAUAUUCGGAAGAACACCAGUGGCGAAGGCGGCUCACUGGACCGGUAUUGACGCUGAGGUGCGAAAGCGUGGGGAGCAAACAGG